Molecule: ribosomal RNA, 501 nt
Filed under: uncultured bacterium
Lineage: Bacteria
Description: bacterial SSU rRNA
Rfam family: Bacterial small subunit ribosomal RNA
Source: RNAcentral
AUUGAACGCUGGCGGAAUGCUUUACACAUGCAAGUCGAACGGUAGAGGGGGCAACCCCUUGAGAGUGGCGAACGGGUGAGUAAUAUAUCGGAACGUGCCCAGUCGUGGGGAUAACGUAGCGAAAGUUACGCUAAUACCGCAUACGAUCUAAGGAUGAAAGCGGGGGACUCGCAAGAGCCUCGCGCGAUUGGAGCGGCCGAUAUCAGAUUAGGUAGUUGGUGGGGUAAAGGCUCACCAAGCCAACGAUCUGUAGCUGGUCUGAGAGGACGACCAGCCACACUGGAACUGAGACACGGUCCAGACUCCUACGGGAGGCAGCAGUGGGGAAUUUUGGACAAUGGACGCAAGUCUGAUCCAGCCAUUCCGCGUGCAGGAUGAAGGCCCUCGGGUUGUAAACUGCUUUUGUACGGAACGAAAAGGUUUCUAUUAAUACGAGGAGCUCAUGACGGUACCGUAAGAAUAAGCACCGGCUAACUACGUGCCAGCAGCCGCGGUAAAGUG